This 216-nucleotide ribosomal RNA is filed under the name Glomeromycotina sp. RNAcentral describes it as "partial small subunit ribosomal RNA". The stretch from base 87 to 216 matches the Rfam family "Eukaryotic small subunit ribosomal RNA", at positions 733 to 864 of the family's 1831-position model. The record is from RNAcentral. Lineage: Eukaryota; Fungi; Glomeromycota.
GGGUCAGUAGGUUGGUCGUGCCACCGGUACGUACUGGUCUCACUGAUUCCUCCUUCCUGAAGAACCGUAAUGCCAUUAAGUUGGUGUUGCGGGGAAACAGGACUGUUACUUUGAAAAAAUUAGAGUGUUUAAAGCAAGCUAACGCUUGAAUACAUUAGCAUGGAAUAAUGAAAUUGGACGAUCGAUCCUAUUUUGUUGGUUUCUAGGAUUGACGUA